Molecule: ribosomal RNA, 1691 nt
Filed under: Tripylella jianjuni
Lineage: Eukaryota; Metazoa; Nematoda; Enoplea; Triplonchida; Tripylidae
Description: SSU rRNA
Rfam family: Eukaryotic small subunit ribosomal RNA
Source: RNAcentral
AAGCCCUUGAAUGGUAAAGCCGCGAAUGGCUCAUUACAACAGCCAUAGUUUAUUAGAUCUUACUCUCCUACUUGGAUAACUGAGGUAAUUCUUGAGCUAAUACACGCAGCAAAGCUCAGACUUAACGGAAUGAGCGCAUUUAUUAGAACAAAACCAAUCGGACUUCGGUCCGUCUUUUGGUGAAUCUGAAUAACUCUGCCGAUCGCACGGUCUCGCACCGGCGACAACUCUUUCAAAUGUCUGCCUUAUCAACUUUCGAUGGUAGUUUAUACGACUACCAUGGUCGUAACGGGUAACGGAGAAUAAGGGUUCGACUCCGGAGAGGGAGCCUGAGAAACGGCUACCACAUCCAAGGAAGGCAGCAGGCACGCAAAUUACCCACUCCCGGCACGGGGAGGUAGUGACGAAAAAUAACGAGGCGGUUCUCUACGAGGCCCGCCAUCGGAAUGGGUGAGAUUUAAAUCGUCCAACGAGGAUCAAUUGGAGGGUAAGUCUGGUGCCAGCAGCCGCGGUAAUUCCAGCUCCAAUAGCGUAUAUUAAAGUUGUUGCGGUUAAAAAGCUCGUAGUUGGAUCUGCGGUCGAGGAGAGUGGUCCUCCGAUGGAUGGAACUGCUUUUCCUGACCUAAUUCCUUCGGUUUUCCCUUGAUGCCCUUCAUUGUGUGUCUUGGGUGGCCGAAACGUUUACUUUGAAAAAAUUAGAGUGCUCAAAGCAGGCGAGUCAGCCUGAAUAGUGGUGCAUGGAAUAAUGAAAGAGGAUCUCGGUUCUAUUUUGUUGGUAUUGGAUUGAGAUAAUGAUCGACGGGGACAGACGGGGGCAUUCGUAUUGCGACGUUAGAGGUGAAAUUCUUGGAUCGUCGCAAGACGGACUACUGCGAAAGCAUUUGCCAAGAAUGUUUUCAUCAAUCAAGAACGAAAGUUAGAGGUUCGAAAGCGAUCAGAUACCGCUCUAGUUCUAACCGUAAACGAUGCCAACUCGCGAUCCGCCGGAGUUAAAUGCAUGACUCGGCGGGCAGCGUCCGGGAAACCAAAGUUUUUGGGUUCCGGGGGAAGUAUGGUUGCAAAGCUGAAACUUAAAGGAAUUGACGGAAGGGCACCACCAGGAGUGGAGCCUGCGGCUUAAUUUGACUCAACACGGGGAAACUCACCCGGCCCGGACACCGUAAGGAUUGACAGAUUGAUAGCUCUUUCUUGAUUCGGUGGGUGGUGGUGCAUGGCCGUUCUUAGUUGGUGGAGCGAUUUGUCUGGUUAAUUCCGAUAACGAACGAGACUCUAGCCUACUAAAUAGACAGUGAAUCAUUCGUUCUCUGUACUUCUUAGAGGGACAAGCGGCGUCUAGUCGCACGAGAUUGAGCAAUAACAGGUCUGUGAUGCCCUUAGAUGUUCGGGGCUGCACGCGCGCUACACUGAAGGAAUCAACAUGCUUCUCAACCUUACCCGGAAGGGUUUGGUAACCCGUUGAAACUCCUUCGUGAUUGGGAUAGGGAAUUGCAAUUAUUUCCCUUGAACGAGGAAUUCCCAGUAAGUGCGGGUCAUCAGCUCGCGUUGAUUACGUCCCUGCCCUUUGUACACACCGCCCGUCGCUACUACCGAUUGGAUGAUUUAGUGAGCAACUCAGACUGAUGUCGAAGCGGCUUCGCGGCUGCCUCGAUCUUUUGGAAAGAUUUGCAAGCUCAAUAUCUAGAGGAAGUAAA